Phoenix dactylifera (date palm) is the source of this 3205-nucleotide non-coding RNA. The record is from RefSeq and is a predicted model, not a curated record. NCBI's taxonomy places the organism in Eukaryota, Viridiplantae, Streptophyta, Magnoliopsida, Arecales, Arecaceae.
AAACCCUAAACCCUAAUGUCGCCUCCAUGUCCCAACUCCACCCUCCUCCCCCCGGGGGGUUUCCCGUCUUACUUCAGGAAUUAAAACGGGCUAAUGGAGGAAUUGGUCAUGAAUAUUUUAGCAUGUGAUCAAGGCAUUAAAUCUUGCCCAACAACGCAAGUAUGCUUUGUUUGUGGAAUUUUCAUGUCCUACCGUCAGAAAGAGGGGAAGUUGGUAUGGUUUAAGUUCAGAUUUGUGGUUAGAGUUGUGGCAGAAGUGUGCAAUUAACUGAUCUUUUGGCCAUUAGAAAAAAAAGAUUGGAACUUGGUGGUGUUUUUAACUCGAAGCUUGGACGCACUGCAAGUGAUGAGAAAACAGACAGGGACAUCAGCACUCCUAUCUCUGGAGAGUGAUGAUUUGCUCUAAUGGGAAUCUCUCUGAUGCACAAAUUUGUUAUUUCUCUCGAUGCAUCCCUUCCGAUCUGCACUUUUUUUUUGGUGAUAUAUAUAGUUGUUUGCAGUCAGAAUUCUAUGGUUCCUUUUUCUUUUUUAAUUUUUUAAAUUUUAAGACUAGUCUGCUGGUGAUGCAAAAUAUGCACGUAUUAUCGGAUUCAAAACGACGACAUUUUAAGAUUGUCACUACCACUGAGGCAGACUCGUUUUUGUGGUAUAUUUAUUCUAAUUCAUUGGGUUUUGAGUUUUGCGUGUUAAUUGGUGAAUAAUGUAGCAGUCUAUCUAUCUAUCUAUUACCUGGAAAUAAACAUAUUUGUAUUCCUUUAUAAAGUAUUUAUUGUUAUUAUGUUCUGUAUUAUUCUAUUCUUAAUUUUGUCAUUACAUACUGAUAAUUUUGGUCCUAUGUUCUUUUUCUGCAUGAAAUUGUUGCAUUUUUUUUUUCAUUUUUUGAUUAUUAGAUACAAAAAAAUAUACCUUAUUUGAGAUUAGGAAGUAUCUUCUUAUUUUUGUUUAGAUAUCCUAUUUUUCCUGUUAUAUUCUGCUUUAUCUAGUUAUAAUUUUACCUUUUGAUGUAUAAUUUGAUAAUAUCAAAUUCCUAUGGUGAUCUUAAAUAUAUUUUGAGACUUGAGCAAUCACUUUGAAAAGAAUUUAAUCUGGGGCGGUCAUUUUCUGUUUAACUCUUCUCUACGGACAAUUUGCACUCCUUUGUGGUGGUUUGUUUUCUACAUGAUAGGCUCAUUAGCCAUGCACUCUAUAAAUUCCUAAGCAUUAUACUAUGAUCCUAACUAUUUCAUGUUGAUUAAUUUUGUACUAUUCUGAGGUCAGCUAGCUUGCCUUUUUCAUCUAUUUUUAUUGCUAUGUUACUUUUUCAUUUGUUUUUAUUCAGAUAUUGAUAGAAAUAUUUACUUUGAUUUGAUUAUUUCGACCAAAGAAUCAUCCAUGGCAUAUGUCACUGCAUCAGCAAUUGAUAUAUUUUUUUUUUUCAUUACUUCAAAAUUCUUAUGCAUAUUAAAUGUCCUACCGAACAUGAUGAGGCCAUGUUUGUUUUCAGCUUUUCACUUUUUUUAAUGAUACACUUGUAAACUUGAAAUAGUUAAUAUGAUCAGAGAUACUUGUCUUUGAGAUCAAUCUGGAUCUGCCAAUGGGGCAUAUUGCACAUAUUACCAGAUUCAAGAAUUGUCACUGCCACAAAGACAGUCUCCAUCCAUAGCCCUUUUUUGAUUUAUGAUUGUAUUUGUGUUGUAUGGUUAUGAAUGAAAUGAAAUAUAUCUUCAAAUGAUAUUAGUUGAUUAGAAGUUUUCUAUUGUUUUGCUAUCUAUAAGUGGAGGCAAACCUUUAUAUAGGCUUCAUUCAUAUUUCACAAUAUGCAGCUUAUUAAGAUUUAGUAUAUAGACUUUCCCCAUCCUUUUGCAAGCUUGGUGUUAGAACGUUUUUGGCAUUUCAUAUAUGAACUUCAUUUUUUUUCUUCUUUAGAGUGCAUUAUGUAACUAGAUACCAGUGCUGACUAGUUUGCCUGAUUAUGAGUUGAAAAGGGCUCAUUUGUGUUCUUUGGAAAGAAGCAAGCUUUUACCAUGAUAGCUAUAAUUUUUUCAGAUCACCAUAAAUUUCUCCUCUAUUUAACAGCAUAAAGAUCUUAGCGAUGCUUUUUACUGUUUUAUCUUAAUUUUGUGUAAGUUGCAAAUGAUGAUAAAACAGACAGGGACAUCUGCACUCAUCUUGGGGUUGAUGAUCAUGUCUUGGGAAUUAAUUUAUUGGUCUGAUGCAACAAUCGUUUUUUUUUUUGUAAGUUUAUAUGCCAAGUUUAUCUAGAUCUUGAAUGUCUUGAUCAAGUGUGAAGUUACACUGAAUUGAUCUGGGUUUCCUUACAUACAUAUUGCCUGCAGGCUUUUUCCUCGUAAUAACAUACUACUUCAAUCGUCCUGCUUUUGACCAGUGAUGUUUAUUCUUUUCAUUUUUAAAGGUUUUGUUACAAGUGCCUGUGAUGGUUAUAAAUAUACUUUGAGUAAUUACUAUGAAAAGACAUCAAACUGAGGCACACUUUUCUUUAUUGUCCAUUCUUUAUUUUCUUUUUGAAGUGCAGAUCUCUAAGCAGUUUGGUGUUCUUUUGUAAUAGUAAGUCCCUUUCUAUUGGGUUUUCUACUCUGAUAGUUUUUGGUGUGUAAGGCUAUUGAUUUGAUUUAUAUAUGUUUGUUCUUUAUGAGUCUCAUUUCUAUGAUGAUUAAUAGCAUUUUCUUUUUGUUUUUUUUUUUUUGGGGGGGGGGGAUGGUUGAGGUAUCUAUGAUGCAGACAGUAGCUGCAGGAGUGGCAAGUCAUAUCUCCAUUUUUCGCGCAUAAAGUUCAAAUGUUGUCAUCAUGUGUUUGAAGUAUCUGAAUGAAUCUCUGUUGAAGUCCGACAAGUUUGGAGGGGAGAGGAGAGAUUUCCCCACCGAGUUUUACUAGGACAUAAGGGAAUCAUAUAAGAGGCUGAGGACCAAGAAAACGAGAUAUUAUUAGUUAAACGAGUGUCGAACAUCAGAUGACCUAGUUUCGUUCCGGGGCGCAGACGACACCAUGGUUUAAAUAGCUCCAAAAGCAGUCGCCAACACCGGGCUGCCGAACCUUUCUUAGUUCGGCCUUCGAAUAACUACUGAAAAGUUCUCAGAGUUUAGAAAUGUGCCAACCUCUAAUCAUACUAAAUAUUUCUGGUGAGAACUCGAGUAUUUGGGGCUCUUGAACCUAAAAUGUGCUAAAGAGGUGACAUUGUUUAAUUUAAGAACCACUUAAUUUUUGUAGCA